UACAGAGGGUGCAAGCGUUAAUCGGAAUUACUGGGCGUAAAGGGUGUGUAGGUGGUUGGAUAAGUUAGAUGUGAAAUCCCCGGGCUUAACCUGGGAACUGCGUUUAAAACUGUUUAACUAGAGUGCUGUAGAGGAUAGUGGAAUUUCCAGUGUAGCGGUGAAAUGCGUAGAUAUUGGAAGGAACACCAGUGGCGAAGGCGACUAUCUGGACAGACACUGACACUGAGACACGAAAGCAUGGGGAGCAAACAGG
Molecule: ribosomal RNA, 253 nt
Filed under: uncultured bacterium
Lineage: Bacteria
Description: partial 16S ribosomal RNA
Rfam family: Bacterial small subunit ribosomal RNA
Source: RNAcentral